This 560-nucleotide ribosomal RNA is filed under the name uncultured Gammaproteobacteria bacterium. RNAcentral's name for it is "bacterial SSU rRNA". It matches the Rfam family "Bacterial small subunit ribosomal RNA", at positions 561 to 1122 of the family's 1533-position model. Lineage: Bacteria; Pseudomonadati; Pseudomonadota; Gammaproteobacteria. The record is from RNAcentral.
UAAAGCGUACGUAGGCGGUUUACUAAGUCAGAUGUGAAAGCCCCGGGNUUNNCCUGGGAACUGCAUUUGAUACUGGUAGGCUAGAGUAUGGUAGAGGGGGGUAGAAUUCAUAGUGUAGCGGUGAAAUGCGUAGAUAUUAUGAGGAAUACCAGUGGCGAAGGCGGCCCCCUGGACCAAUACUGACGCUGAGGUACGAAAGCGUGGGUAGCGAACAGGAUUAGAUACCCUGGUAGUCCACGCCGUAAACGAUGUCAACUNGCCGUUGGGACCUUGAGGUCUCAGUGGUGCAGCUAACGCGUGAAGUUGACCGCCUGGGGAGUACGGCCGCAAGGCUAAAACUCAAAUNAAUUGACGGGGGCCCGCACAAGCGGUGGAGCAUGUGGUUUAAUUCGAUGCAACGCGAAGAACCUUACCUACCCUUGACAUUGACAGAAUCCAGUAGAGAUACAGGAGUGCCUUCGGGCCUGGAAAACAGGUGCUGCAUGGCUGUCGUCAGCUCGUGUCGUGAGAUGUUGGGUUAAGUCCCGCAACGAGCGCAACCCUUAUCCUUAGUUGCCAGC